Molecule: ribosomal RNA, 484 nt
Filed under: uncultured bacterium
Lineage: Bacteria
Description: partial 16S ribosomal RNA
Rfam family: Bacterial small subunit ribosomal RNA
Source: RNAcentral
GAUGAACGCUGGCGGCGUGCUUAACACAUGCAAGUCGAACGGUGAAGCAGGAGCUUGCCCUUGUGGAUCAGUGGCGAACGGGUGAGUAACACGUGAGCAACCUGCCCCUGACUCUGGGAUAAGCGCUGGAAACGGCGGCUAAUACAGGAUAUUUGCUGUGACAGCAUGGUCUGCAUCUGGCAUGACUUUCGGGUGGGGAUGGGCUCGCGGCCUAUCAGCUUGUUGGUGAGGUAAUGGCCCACCAAGGCGUCGACGGGUUGACGGCCUGAGAGGGUGACCGGGCACACUGGGACUGAGGCACGGCCCAGACUCCAACGGGAGGCAGCAGUGGGGAAUAUUGCACAAUGGGCGGAAGCCUGAUGCAGCAACGCCGCGUGAGGGAUGACGGCCUUCGGGUUGUAAACCUCUUUUAGCAGGGAAGGAGCGAAAGUGACGGUACCCGAAGAAAAAGCACCGGCUAACUACGUGCCAGCCGCCGCAGUAA